This 292-nucleotide ribosomal RNA is filed under the name uncultured bacterium. RNAcentral describes it as "partial 16S ribosomal RNA". It matches the Rfam family "Bacterial small subunit ribosomal RNA", at positions 505 to 796 of the family's 1533-position model. The record is from RNAcentral.
GUGCCAGCCGCCGCGGUAAUACGGGAGAGGCAAGCGUUAUCCGGAAUUAUUGGGCGUAAAGCGUCCGCAGGCGGUUAAUCAAGUCUGUUGUCAAAGCGUGGGGCUCAACCUCAUAAGGGCAAUGGAAACUGAUUGACUAGAGUAUGGUAGGGGUAGCGGGAAUUCCAGGUGUAGCGGUGAAAUGCGUAGAUAUCUGGAAGAACACCAGCGGCGAAAGCGCGCUACUGGGCCAUAACUGACGCUCAUGGACGAAAGCUAGGGGAGCGAAAGGGAUUAGAAACCCGCGUAGUCC